This 67-nucleotide transfer RNA is filed under the name Marmota monax (woodchuck). RNAcentral describes it as "tRNA.Ala". It matches the Rfam family "tRNA". Rfam says of the family: Transfer RNA (tRNA) molecules are approximately 80 nucleotides in length. Their secondary structure includes four short double-helical elements and three loops (D, anti-codon, and T loops). Lineage: Eukaryota; Metazoa; Chordata; Mammalia; Rodentia; Sciuridae. The record is from RNAcentral.
GGUUGUAGCUCAGUGAUAGAGCACUUGCCUUGCAGGCAUGAGGCCCUGGGUUCGUUCCCCAGCACCA